AACACUGUUAACCUGCGGUACCUGCGGAGGGAUCAUUACCGAGUUUACAACUCCCAAACCCAAUGUGAACCAUACCAAACUGUUGCCUCGGCGGGGUCACGCCCCGGGUGCGUCGCAGCCCCGGAACCAGGCGCCCGCCGGAGGGACCAACCAAACUCUUUACUGUAGUCCCCUCGCGGACGUUAUUUCUUACAGCUCUGAGCAAAAAUUCAAAAUGAAUCAAAACUUUUAACAACGGAU
Molecule: unclassified non-coding RNA, 240 nt
Filed under: soil metagenome
Description: partial contains 5.8S ribosomal RNA, internal transcribed spacer 2, and large subunit ribosomal RNA
Source: RNAcentral